RNAcentral lists this ribosomal RNA (568 nucleotides) under uncultured bacterium. Its description in RNAcentral is "bacterial SSU rRNA". It matches the Rfam family "Bacterial small subunit ribosomal RNA", at positions 338 to 916 of the family's 1533-position model. The record is from RNAcentral.
CCUACGGGAGGCAGCAGUGGGGAAUAUUGCGCAAUGGGCGAAAGCCUGACGCAGCAACGCCGCGUGAGGGAUGACGGCCUUCGGGUUGUAAACCUCUUUCAGCAGGGAAGAAGCGAAAGUGACGGUACCUGCAGAAGAAGCACCGGCUAACUACGUGCCAGCAGCCGCGGUAAUACGUAGGGUGCAAGCGUUGUCCGGAUUUAUUGGGCGUAAGGAGCUCGUAGGCGGUUAGUCACGUCGGAUGUGAAAUCCCGGAGCUUAACUCCGGGCCUGCAUUCGAUACGGGCUGACUCGAGUAUUGUAGGGGAGACUGGAACUCCUGGUGUAGCGGUGAAAUGCGCAGAUAUCAGGAAGAACACCGGUGGCGAAGGCGGGUCUCUGGGCAAUUACUGACGCUGAGGAGCGAAAGCGUGGGGAGCAAACAGGAUUAGAUACCCUGGUAGUCCACGCCGUAAACGGUGGGCGCUAGGUGUGGGGACCCUUCCACGGUCUCCGUGCCGCAGCUAACGCAUUAAGCGCCCCGCCUGGGGAGUACGGCCGCAAGGCUAAAACUUAAAUGAAUUGACGG